This 460-nucleotide ribosomal RNA is filed under the name uncultured bacterium. RNAcentral's name for it is "partial 16S ribosomal RNA". It matches the Rfam family "Bacterial small subunit ribosomal RNA", at positions 338 to 795 of the family's 1533-position model. The record is from RNAcentral.
CCUACGGGAGGCAGCAGUGAGGAAUAUUGGUCAAUGGACGAGAGUCUGAACCAGCCAAGUAGCGUGAAGGAUGACUGCUCUAUGGGUUGUAAACUUCUUUUAUAAAGGAAUAAAACGAGGCACGUGUGCCUUUUUGCAUGUACUUUAUGAAUAAGGAUCGGCUAACUCCGUGCCAGCAGCCGCGGUAAUACGGAGGAUCCGAGCGUUAUCCGGAUUUAUUGGGUUUAAAGGGAGCGUAGAUGGGUUGUUAAGUCAGUUGUGAAAGUUUGCGGCUCAACCGUAAAAUUGCAAUUGAUACUGGCAGUCUAGAGUACAGUUGAGGUAAGCGGAAUUCGUGGUGUAGCGGUGAAAUGCUUAGAUAUCACGAAGAACCCCGAUUGCGAAGGCAGCUUACUAAACUGUGACUGACAUUGAUGCUCGAAAGUGUGGGUAUCAAACAGGAUUAGAUACCCCAGUAGUC